GGCUUCACUUUUGGAGUCAGAACUUCUGAAUGAAUAUUGCCUCUCCUCGGCUGCGCGUCUGGUGUGAAGGCGAAGAUUCUUCUGUUGCAAGACAUUACCAUGCUCGUUGAUGGCCCGAGAGGACGUUUUGAUGGACAGGUUCGACACACCUUCCUGUAGAGAUCUUCUUCUUCGUCCAGCAGUUCCUCAGGGCCGUACUCAUGCUGAUGUAUGUUGGUGUCUUUUUUAAACAUACUGCUUCUCACUGCCCGUCGGAGCUCUGAAAGCCGUAUUGGAAUUUGGAGAUGGAGAACAAUGAUACAUUUCCUUGGCCUCCUCCAGAGCCUCUUCACUGCCCCACACCUCCAAAGAGCGUUUCACCACCUUAACAUUUACAAUACAGUAUAAAAAAAGAGAACCAAACAAACAAAGACUGUUGCAAAAUAUCAAUGAUUUUGAUUCUUAAAAUGCAUUCAACUGUUAAAAACAACAAGACAAACAAUUGAAUGAAAAUAAAACUUUGUUUAAAGGAACAUUCUACUUUCAUUAAAAAAAUCCUGAUAAUUUACACAUGUUAUCCAAGAUUUGAACAUUAUUGGACCCCAACAGUUCACAGUUUCAAUGCAG
Molecule: long non-coding RNA, 606 nt
Organism: Paramisgurnus dabryanus
Lineage: Eukaryota; Metazoa; Chordata; Actinopteri; Cypriniformes; Cobitidae
Source: RefSeq, a predicted model, not a curated record